Molecule: ribosomal RNA, 460 nt
Filed under: uncultured bacterium
Lineage: Bacteria
Description: partial 16S ribosomal RNA
Rfam family: Bacterial small subunit ribosomal RNA
Source: RNAcentral
CCUACGGGGGGCAGCAGUGAGGAAUAUUGGUCAAUGGACGAGAGUCUGAACCAGCCAAGUAGCGUGAAGGAUGACUGCCCUAUGGGUUGUAAACUUCUUUUAUAUGGGAAUAAAAUGUUCCACGUGUGGGAUUUUGUAUGUACCAUAUGAAUAAGGAUCGGCUAACUCCGUGCCAGCAGCCGCGGUAAUACGGAGGAUCCGAGCGUUAUCCGGAUUUAUUGGGUUUAAAGGGAGCGUAGGUGGAUUGUUAAGGCAGUUGUGAAAGUUUGCGGGUCAAACGUAAAAUUGUAGUUGAAACUGGCAGUCUUGAGUACAGUAGAGGUGGGCGGAAUUCGUGGUGUAGCGGUGAAAUGCUUAGAUAUCACGAAGAACUCCGAUUGCGAAGGCAGUUCACUGGACUGCAACUGACACUGAGGCUCGAAAGUGUGGGUAUCAAACAGGAUUAGAUACCCUGGUAGUC